Molecule: small nucleolar RNA, 92 nt
Organism: Hibiscus syriacus
Lineage: Eukaryota; Viridiplantae; Streptophyta; Magnoliopsida; Malvales; Malvaceae
Source: RefSeq, a predicted model, not a curated record
GUAGACGAUGAAAUAUGCACUGGGCUCUGAUCAGUUUCUUAUAUGAACUGCUUUCUUGAUGGAAAUUGCAGCCUAGAAAGCUUGUCUGAUAC